UACGGGGGGUGCAAGCGUUGUUCGGAAUCAUUGGGCGUAAAGCGCGCGCAGGCGGCUUGGUAAGUCAGAUGUGAAGGCCCUGGGCUUAACCCAGGAAGUGCAUUUGAUACUGCCUCGCUAGAGUACGGGAGAGGAAAGUGGAAUUCCUGGUGUAGAGGUGAAAUUCGUAGAUAUCAGGAGGAACACCGGUGGCGAAGGCGACUUUCUGGCCCGAUACUGACGCUCAGGCGCGAAAGCGUGGGGAGCAAACAGG
RNAcentral lists this ribosomal RNA (253 nucleotides) under uncultured prokaryote. RNAcentral describes it as "partial 16S ribosomal RNA". It matches the Rfam family "Bacterial small subunit ribosomal RNA", at positions 524 to 776 of the family's 1533-position model. The record is from RNAcentral.